Molecule: long non-coding RNA, 569 nt
Organism: Pseudopipra pipra
Lineage: Eukaryota; Metazoa; Chordata; Aves; Passeriformes; Pipridae
Exons: 3
Source: RefSeq, a predicted model, not a curated record
GAACGUGUGCAGCCUCAGAGGGCUGGAGCCACCUGCCAAUUAGGUUUGAUGGUCUUCAGCUGUCCUUGUACGGCACACGGUGACGGCAGCAGCCUCUGACUCGAGUUGGAGCCAGUGGCCCGAGAACCUCUCAGCUCAGGGGAGGCGACCGAGUCAGGGAUCACAGGACCCUCUGAGCCAGCCGGGCGUCCUUCCUUCGUGGCAAAGGUGGAUUCACAUCCCCGCCUAUGGGAAAGAUAAGUGGAGGACUAUCACCUGGAGAGGGGAUGGGAGCUGGGUCCAGUUUUAUGGUUAGGAGGGAGGGAUUUUCAAAUUAACAUAGGGGAAAGGGUCUGCCCUAAGAGGCCCUUGGCACACAUAGGAGGAGCAGUUUACUUUUCAUCACUGGAGUAGGAUGUGCAGGGCAGAGUCGUUCAGGUCUGUGUCGUGUCCUUUGUCCAGUCUGUGUUUUGUGUCUUACAAUUCACAAUCACAAUUCAAAAUUGUUGCACCACAGCACUUGUCCAGAAAUGUGCCACUGGAGUUUGUGUUUGGCCUGGAACUGCUCUGCCCUGCAGUGUAGACUUGAG